Pseudoliparis swirei is the source of this 3118-nucleotide RNA transcript. It is a transcript of the gene named EF-hand domain (C-terminal) containing 2, with no coding region annotated. The transcript has 18 exons. Lineage: Eukaryota; Metazoa; Chordata; Actinopteri; Perciformes; Liparidae. The record is from RefSeq and is a predicted model, not a curated record.
UAUUAUCGGAGCUUGGUUUUACUUUAGCUUGCAUUUAACUACAGAUUUCUGUGUGCAUAAUGAAAGAGUUAGUGGAAGUAUAGAUGCCUUUUAGUUUACAGCAGUGUUGAAAUUAGUAUUCAGAUCGUAAAACAAUAUUAAAGUGUGAAAAAAACUGCAUACACAACACUUAAGAAAAAGUACAAUAAUAGUAUCAGUACUCUUAAGGCAGAAAGGCCUAAAUUACUUAAUGUUGCAGCUGGUAAAAGUGAGGGUGCUUUUAAUUACUUCAUAUACUCACCUAUAAUAAACCUAAUGAUCUUAUUUGUUGUUUUGUAUGUUUAAUUUGUAAUGUGUAUCCGCAAAGUAUGGAGGUUCUAAAGGAGCAUAACGUUUAACGGGUCUCUACAUUGUCCCGUGAACGUUGCUAAGAGACGCAACUACCGAAACGAGACCCGGUAACCAACAACAACAGCCCGUUGAAAAGCCACGAAGGAGAUCGAUAACUAAUCAAACCAUGGCGUUACCCUUUCUACCCGGGAAUUCUCCCAAUAAACAACUGGGGAAGGAGAGGUUCCACAAAUCCCAACAUUUUGAAUAUUACAAUCAAUUCCCAAUGCUGGCGGGAUCUGAGAAACCAGGCAUCGGAGGAGAGCCGCUCGCGGGCCAGACCAUCAAACCAAAGUACUCCGUCUACCCCAAAGGACGGGGCAGUGAAUUGCCAGCAUGGAUAGCCUUUGACAAACAGGCUCUGUGUUUUGAAGCAUUCUUCCAGGAAGCUGUGCCCGAGGCACAAGACGAGACGUACAGGAUCCGGAGGUGUAAGAUCUACUUCUACCUGGAAGAUGAUACCAUCCAGGUGGUGGAGCCAGAGUACAAGAACAGUGGCAUCCCUCAAGGAACACUCAUUCGUCGCCAACGUGUCCCACUGCCCGCCCCAAAUGAUGACCAGUUCUACCACAUUUAUCAUUUCAACAUCAACCAACAGAUGGUGCUGUACUCACGCGUGUUCACUGUGACCAACUGUGACUCUUUUACACAAAACUUUCUCUCCAAGCUUGGAGUGCGCCUCAAUAACCCUGUCGGUGUACCCGAUGACCCCUACAGCAAACACCGGGAAGAGAUUGAGAAAAGCAUGAAGCCACUUCGGCCGUACGAGACGUGCGACACACUGAAGCAGUUCCUGGACCACGACCGCGAUGUCCUGGGCUUCAACUGCCUCUGGGACGACACGGAGAGUGUGUUCGGGGACCGGCGGGAGCUCCUGCUGCACUACUACCUGGCUGACGACACCAUCGAGAUCCUGGAAGUCGUCUCCCCAAACUCUGGGAGGGACACUGCGCCCAAGUUCCUACGCCGCGGCAAACUGCCCAAGGAUUCAUCCCAAAUGAAGCUUCCCGGACAGAUCACGGACCGCACGGUGCUCAACGUGUUCGCCCCCACGAGUCAGAAAAAACGCUACAUGCUGGACAGCCUCAAAACAGGAGCUGUGCAUGAUGAGUUUUAUAAGGACUGCGAUCUGACUCUGGGCUCCGAGGUGAAUGUAUGGGGCAGGAGAGUGAUCAUCACUGACUGUGACAACUUCACCAAAGACUACUACCGCUCCAAAUACGGCAUAGAGGACUUCCCCCCAGUGGUGUACAAAGUUCCCCCGGCCCCUAAGCCCCUGAGGACCAUGCCCCCCUACAAUGGCUUUGGCUCAGAGGAGGACUCGCUAUGCUCCUGCCAAGGCCUGCUGCCCAAGCCCCCACAGAAAGAUUUCCACAAGUUUAUGGAGAACGACAGAUGCGACGUCAUCAGCGUGCUGAAUUUGCGUGCCAAGAUGGUCACCACCGAUCCGGUUGACAGAGACAGGGUGUUCAUCAUCUACUUCUAUCUCUGCGAUGACUCCAUCUGUGUGUUUGAGCAACCGCAGAAGAACUCAGGUGUGCUCGGUGGAAAGUUCCUGCAGCGUGGCCGUGUAAAAAAGCCCGGCCAGGAGCUGUUUAAGAUCGAGCUAUCCGAGUACUAUAAAGCUCAGGAUCUGUACGUUGGCGCUACCCUGUGCCUCAGCGGGAACCACUUCCAGGUUCUGGAUGCGGAUGAAUGCACCUUCAACUACAUGGAGCAGCAUGCUGAGGAGUUCCCCAAAGCCAACGUGGGAAACAUCCUCAGCAAACUACGAUCUAUUCCGGAGGAGCAACAGAGCGAGAUCCGGAGGUUUCUGACUCUCAGUGACCCCAACAACACCGGCUUCAUUUCCUAUGAGUCGUUCAGGGGCCUGCUCACCGGCCUGGGCUGCGGACUGUCGGAGCACGAGGUGCUGGUGCUGGGCCGAAGCUUCUCGGAGCGCGAGCAGCCCGAGGCGGACGUGGGCCUGAUGCUGGCUGUGGCCCAGGACUACCUCAAGAAGAAGCACUUUGAAGAGUUCCCUGACAUGGACAGAGCCUUCACAUACCGCGACCAACACAAGAGCGGCCGUCUCUCCACCAAAGAAACGAGGACGAUCUGUAAGGCCUUCCACCUUCCUCUGCCCGAGAAGCUGCUGGGGGGUCUGCUCAGCCAGUUUGCAGAUAGGGACGAGAUCGACUACCAUGCCUUCCUGGCUGGCAUUAACUGGUUAGAGAACCCCGCCCCCCCGGUAAUGCCCGAAGACGCGGUAAAGCUGGACGUGAACCGCAGGUCUGGCGCCGGCGGGGCUGCAGGGAGGAACGUCAACUACUCCUCCCUCCUGAGGGAUGUGUUCAGCUUUCCCUCCAACAGCGCUGACCCAACAACCUCCACCACAACCUAGGCACAAGCUGGGAGAUGGGAUUCACAUUUGGCCGCGCUGACCAUUUCCUUCAUGUGAUAUUAUGAUACAUUAUCUGAAGCCAUUUACUCCCUGUCACCGCCCUCCUCGUGGACACAAGCCGAGUCAGCCAAGGAGGGGCGGUCAGAUUCUGUCCAGGAGCCUGUUGGUGGCGAAUACAUGCUCCACCUCUCCUGCGGCCGGCUGUAAAUCGCCGCUGUCGAAGGCAUGUUGGAAGAAUGCAGCUCGGGCUCCGGCUGCGUGUUCCUCUUUCCUUUUGGAGUGCAGCUUCGCCGUCAGUGUCGCUUUCCUGAACGCUGAACUCAUUUCGGUAACUCAAACUGUUCAGAAUAAACCCGCGAAACCCGU